CUCAAUCUUCCUUUUGUCUCGUGUGAUGAAGAUUAUACUUUUUGUCUUUGCUUAAUAAUAUACAUUACCGUAAAAUAGUGGGUUGAAAAUCUGUUUUUGUUACCUUUUCAUAUUUUCUUGAUUCAUAAAUUUUAAACUGUAAACAUAUCUAGAUUUUUUUUUUAAAGUACAACAAAAGUAUUCAUGAAAUCAUGCUCUAAAAUUCAUGAAAUUGUGCUCUAACUUUUACCUGAUGUUUUAGAAAAUACCAAGAAUUUAUAAAACCAUACUGAUACCGAAGAGAAAUUAAGAUGAUUAAAGAAUUUGAAAAUUUAAUUUCGAUUAUACAAAAUAAAAUAAUUAAAAAUUAAUAUAAUAUAUGUUUCAUAAAAUAAUCGUCGGAAUUGUCCGACACCCCGCAAGUUGGGAAUGCGCCAGCCCUAUUCUCAAUUGGCUGAUUCCUUUAUUCAAAUACCUAAAAUGCCCCCACAUAAUCCCAUAUUCACACUUCAUCACAGAGGGCAAAACAAUAAACUCACAAUUAUUAUUCCCACUCCAAUAAUUCCACGGUUCUCCUACAAUAUUAUAAAUUUAACCACUAUCCAUUAAAUUAAAAAAAGCCUUUUUGUUUUGGGUUAAGAGAAAAGGGUAUUAUUUCCAUUCUAGCAAAUAAUCAGAUCCAAAACUCUGAACCCUAGGAAAAAUCAACCAUGUCUUCUAAGCAAGGUGGAAAGGCAAAGCCUUUGAAGGCACCAAAGUCUGAAAAGAAGGAGUACGACGAG
This is a long non-coding RNA of Lycium barbarum (goji berry), 761 nucleotides long. RefSeq lists it as uncharacterized. The transcript has 2 exons. The record is from RefSeq and is a predicted model, not a curated record. Lineage: Eukaryota; Viridiplantae; Streptophyta; Magnoliopsida; Solanales; Solanaceae.